AUUGAACGCUGGCGGCAUGCCUUACACAUGCAAGUCGAACGGUAACAGGUCUUCGGAUGCUGACGAGUGGCGAACGGGUGAGUAAUACAUCGGAACGUGCCUAGUAGUGGGGGAUAACUACUCGAAAGAGUGGCUAAUGCCGCAUGAGAUCUACGGAUGAAAGCAGGGGAUCGCAAGACCUUGUGCUACUAGAGCGGCCGAUGGCGGAUUAGGUAGUUGGUGGGAUAAAAGCUUACCAAGCCGACAAGCUGUAGCUGGUCUGAAAGGACGAGCGGCCACACUGGAACUGAGACACGGCCCAGACUCCUACGGGAGGAAGCAGUGGGGAAUUUUGGACAAUGGGCGCAAGCCUGAUCCAGCAAUGCCGCGUGCAGGAGGAAGGCCUUCGGGUUGUAAACUGCUUUUGUACGGAACGAAAAGCCCCGGGUUAAUACCCUGGGGUCAUGACGGUACCGUAAGAAUAAGCACCGGCUAACUACGUGCCAGCCGCCGCCGUAA
This 498-nucleotide ribosomal RNA is filed under the name uncultured bacterium. Its description in RNAcentral is "partial 16S ribosomal RNA". It matches the Rfam family "Bacterial small subunit ribosomal RNA", at positions 30 to 523 of the family's 1533-position model. The record is from RNAcentral.